This 400-nucleotide ribosomal RNA is filed under the name uncultured bacterium. Its description in RNAcentral is "bacterial SSU rRNA". It matches the Rfam family "Bacterial small subunit ribosomal RNA", at positions 355 to 752 of the family's 1533-position model. The record is from RNAcentral.
UAAGGAAUAUUGGUCAAUGGACGCAAGUCUGAACCAGCCAUGCCGCGUGGAGGAUGAAGGUCCUCUGGAUUGUAAACUUCUUUUAUCUGGGACGAAAAAAGGGUUUUCUAACUCGUCUGACGGUACCAGAUGAAUAAGCACCGGCUAACUCCGUGCCAGCAGCCGCGGUAAUACGGAGGGUGCAAGCGUUAUCCGGAUUCACUGGGUUUAAAGGGUGCGUAGGCGGGCAAUUAAGUCCGUGGUGAAAUACCUGAGCUUAACUUGGGAACUGCCAUGGAUACUAUUUGUCUUGAAUGUCGUGGAGGUUAGCGGAAUAUGUCAUGUAGCGGUGAAAUGCUUAGAUAUGACAUAGAACACCUAUUGCGAAGGCAGCUAACUACGCGAAUAUUGACGCUGAGGC